GUUUCGGGGCAGAACUGAACUGAGUCCCAGGUUUGUUUGGUUCUGCUACACCUACUGUCAGCAGUGAGAACAGAGCAUUUUAAUAGAAACGCUGGGACUAUUUUAGUCUUCCUCAUUGUUGAAAAACAGCAGGUGAUCUAAGACAAAGCCCUCACCUGGAAAGACUCUUCAAUGACCUCUUCCCCAGAGCUGCUUUCAGGUGGUUGCAACUGGUUACAAAAUCCGGGGGCAGUCCUCACUCUCAGAACAAGUCUUUUUCUUAGCGGUGUGUUAUCCCUCUCCAACGAGCAAAAGCUAAUGGAGGACAGGCAGACCUGGGUCAGUUGCAUUUGGAGGAGACUUGAAAGCCAGCACCACCACCUUCCUUUCAUUCUGAGCGCUGUUGACCAAAGCCUGCCAGUUGGGGAGGGGAGACCCAUGGACCAGAGCUCUCCCUCCUUCUGGGUCAGUCCUGGCCAGUUAGAUUUGCAUGUGUGAGGCCUGAAAUAAUAAAAAUGGAAGGCAAGUGUUCCCUGAUCCUAGAAACUGAACAAAUGGGCGGAUUCUGUGAGAUCCGCAAAGGCAGGUACAACCUACUGGAAACCAAGAGGCUUUUGAAAACUUAGGGUAAGUACAGCUGAAAGGAUUUCCAAAACGGAACACGCUGGUGUUCAUCCAGAUCAAGUGACAAACUGUUACCAGUGCUUCCAGAGUCCUGCCUGGGCCCUUCAGUCACCACAACCCCCGGUCCGUUAUGUUCACCACUCCCCUGACCUCUGACCCCAGAGAGUCGGUUUGCCUGUUUCUGCUCUUAUGUAAAUGUAGCCAUGUAGUGUGUAUCCUUUUGUGCCAAGCUUCUUUCAUCCAGUGUAAUGUUUCUGAAAGCAUUUGUUCAUAUUGUGGUUCUUAGGCAUUAUGAUGAUAUGGGAACAAAAUAAGGUCUCCCACGAAAGCAGAGUCGACAAGAGUCACGCCUUGAAUUGAAGGAACAGGAUCUCCGGCAGGGUCCACAGGGCUCCACCCUGGCUGCAGGACAACAGCUCCAUCUUUUGGACAGCGAUGGGAUUUGCUUAGGGGCCCAGAGAGUAUAGACACUGCCCUCUGUCUCCUCACUUCCACUGCCCCUACCCACUGCCCAAGAAAUGAAAAAGAAAGAGAAGAAAAAGGGAGACAGGCAGCUCUCCAGCGUGGAGAUCAUCAGUCUUGCUUCUCCUUCCCUGCAAGACUAUAUGACUUGCAUUUGCCAUUGUGGAAAAUUUUACAACAUAGUGGAGAGAAAAUAAAUACUUCAACUUUUUUUUUUUUAAUUUAAAGGUGAGCAUAACACUAAGAGGUUAGUGUGAAGUGUGAUGCCAUUCCCAAAGACCUGAGGGCCUCGUGAAAAAAAAAAAAACUACGUACAUUUGAGUAAACCUCUGUCAUGAGAGCAGAAUAAUCACAGAAUAUUGAAAGGAACUAAAUAUGGUAUUUCAGCCAGUCAAGAAGUUACCUCCUUGAUCUCUAAAAUAGCCAUCUCCAUUUCAUUCUGAACACAAUUUUUAUCAUUAAAAAUUUCUGAAGCUGUAGUUCCAUUAUAUGUAUCUAUUUCUUUAGAAAGUAUAUCAAUGAACUAUGGCACACAUGUCUUGUGUACACUGUAAAGCCUACAAAAACAGAAAUGAGAAUGUGACAUAGAAAGAAAUACAAUUCUUCUUUCCCACCACGCCCCAGAGGAGAGUCUGGCACCUCCCGCAGAGUGUGCCUUUCACGUGGAAACCACAGGGCAAUACUGUGUGAGUCCAGCCAGCCCAUGGAGGAUGGAGUGGCAGGCCCUCUUGCAUCUUCACUAGAAAUGUGGGACAUAUGGAUGCACAUUUAGCAAGAAGAUGUUGCUGGAAGAAAGGCAGGCCACUCUAGUUUUGCCAGUGCCAGGUCUCUGAGAUUCGGGGGCUCACCAAAUACCAUGCCAGCCCUCCAUUUGCCAGCCUGGUACAGCUGGGCCAGGUCGCUGCGUCCCCCAUGGAAGGCGGGGGAAGCACUGGUGACCAAGCGGGAGCCUCAGGACCCAGAGUGCACAGAAGGGGCCUCUGCCCUGCAUUAGGCUGGAAGUGAAUGACAAAUAAACAUUCGUUGUACUAACCCACAGAGACAUGGGGAAUUAAUUGAUAAUUGGAGCAGGAUCACACCUAUUCUGACAAAUACACGCAGCAAGUCUAGCUGAUGAGAACUGGAGGCCAAGCUUUGGAAGAUCAGUUAUGUCCACUUGCAGCACGUAGAGGUGCUAGGGACACAAAGGAAGUGUCCCUAACCAGAAAGAACCAGGAAGACACAAACUAUCUGCUAGUACAGUGCACCACCAGUCUGGUUAUUCAUAGGUUGGUGUGUCUGCACGUAAAAACAGUAUCUUUCCUGAAUAUGAAUGUGUUGGUGUUGUUCUGUUCAAAGCAUUUCCAUGUUUAUUGUUUCAUUUGGCUAGCAAGUAUAUAUAUUCAUUCACAUGCAAAAAU
Homo sapiens (human) is the source of this 2465-nucleotide long non-coding RNA. RefSeq lists it as uncharacterized. The transcript is spliced from 3 exons. The record is from RefSeq and is a predicted model, not a curated record. NCBI's taxonomy places the organism in Eukaryota, Metazoa, Chordata, Mammalia, Primates, Hominidae.